This 253-nucleotide ribosomal RNA is filed under the name uncultured bacterium. RNAcentral describes it as "partial 16S ribosomal RNA". It matches the Rfam family "Bacterial small subunit ribosomal RNA", at positions 524 to 776 of the family's 1533-position model. The record is from RNAcentral.
UACGGGGGGGGCAAGCGUUGUUCGGAAUUACUGGGCGUAAAGGGCUCGUAGGCGGCCAACUAAGUCAUACGUGAAAUCCCUCGGCUUAACCGGGGAACUGCGUCUGAUACUGGAUGGCUUGAGUUCGGGAGAGGGAUGCGGAAUUCCAGGUGUAGCGGUGAAAUGCGUAGAUAUCGUAAGGAAGACCAGUGGCGAAGGCGGGUCUCUGGACAGUUCCUGACGCUGAGGCACGAAGGUCAGGGGAGCAAACGGG